UCACACAGGGAGAGUUUGAUCCUGGCUCAGGAUAAACGCUGGCGGCGUGCCUAACACAUGCAAGUCGAACGCCCUUAGCAAUAAGGGAGUGGCGGACGGGUGAGGAACACGUGGGUUAUCUACCUUGGGGUGAGGAAUACCACCGGGAAACCGGUGACAAUACCGCAUAUGCUCAGCAAUGAGCAAAGCCUUCGGGCGCCACAAGAUGAGCCUGCGGCCGAUUAGCUAGUUGGUGGGGUAAAAGCUCACCAAGGCGACGAUCGGUAACUGGUCUGAGAGGACGGUCAGUCACACUGGGAUUGAGAACGGCCCAGACUCCUACGGGGGGCAGCAGUGAGGAAUUUUGCGCAAUGGGGGAAACCCUGACGCAGCAACGCCGCGUGGAGGAUGAAGUCCCUUGGGACGUAAACUCCUUUCGAUCGGGACGAUUAUGACGGUACCGGAAGAAGAAGCCCCGGCUAACUUCGUGCCAGCAGCCGCGGUAAUCAAUCGC
Molecule: ribosomal RNA, 493 nt
Filed under: uncultured bacterium
Lineage: Bacteria
Description: bacterial SSU rRNA
Rfam family: Bacterial small subunit ribosomal RNA
Source: RNAcentral